Long non-coding RNA from Electrophorus electricus (electric eel), 499 nucleotides. Lineage: Eukaryota; Metazoa; Chordata; Actinopteri; Gymnotiformes; Gymnotidae. The record is from Ensembl.
UGCUCUAGUUACGCCCACUGGUGUUUCUGUCGUUAGUUCCUUCUCAAGAAAACGAAAGUAUUUUCUGUACUGUCGCCAUUACGCGCGUUUUAAAUAUUUCACGGGAGCAGAGAGCAGCAUCUCCAGUGUCCAGCUGUGUGUGUGUGAAGAGGAACAACUCCAUGAUGGAGCCUCAUAACUCCAGCAGUGGAGGAGGAACCUCUGACCCAAAGGUAGAGAGAGCAGAGCCUCCAGCUCCCAGCUGUGCGUCUGUGAAGAGUGAAUCACCUCCAGCACCCAGCUGUGUGUCUGUGAAGAGUGAUGAGUCCAUGGAACCUCCUGCUGUAUUCAGUAGUGGACCUGUGACCUCAGUCCUACAGAUGGGGAGUGAGAGAGCAGUAAAUCCAGCACCCAGCUGUGUGUCUAUGAAGAGUGACUGGUCCAUGGAGCCUCCUCCUCUAUUCAGCAGUGAACCUGUGACCUCAGUCCUACGGUGAGUGACACAUUACACACUCAGAUU